Molecule: small nuclear RNA, 167 nt
Filed under: Myotis lucifugus (little brown bat)
Lineage: Eukaryota; Metazoa; Chordata; Mammalia; Chiroptera; Vespertilionidae
Description: U2 spliceosomal RNA
Rfam family: U2 spliceosomal RNA
About the family: U2 is a small nuclear RNA (snRNA) component of the spliceosome (involved in pre-mRNA splicing).
Source: Rfam by way of RNAcentral
AUCGCUUCUCGGCCUUUUGGCUAAGAUCAAGUGUAGUAUCUGUUCUUAGCAGUUUAAAAUGCCAGGGCGAGAUUCCGAAACUCCAUUUAAAACCCUGAUCGCUCUAUGAGACGAUCAAGAGCAAUCUUUGGUUUUGUAUCAGAUACAAAUCCACAAGUUAACCUGUA